UACGUAGGGGGCAAGCGUUGUCCGGAUUUAUUGGGCGUAAAGAGCGUGUAGGCGGCUUGUUAAGUCUUGCGUGAAAUCUCGGGGCUCAACCCCGAGCGGUCGCGAGAAACUGGCAGGCUAGAGUGCGGGAGAGGAGAGUGGAAUUCCUGGUGUAGCGGUGAAAUGCGCAGAUAUCAGGAAGAACACCCGUGGCGAAGGCGGCUCUCUGGAACGCAACUGACGCUGAGACGCGAAAGCGUGGGGAGCAAACAGG
Molecule: ribosomal RNA, 253 nt
Filed under: uncultured bacterium
Lineage: Bacteria
Description: partial 16S ribosomal RNA
Rfam family: Bacterial small subunit ribosomal RNA
Source: RNAcentral